GACGAACGCUGGCGGCGUGCUUAACACAUGCAAGUCGAACGGAAAGGCUCCAGCUUGCUGGAGUACUCGAGUGGCGAAAGGGUGAGUAACACGUGGGUAAUCUGCCCUGCACUCUGGGAUAAGCCUGGGAAACUGGGUCUAAUACUGGAUAUGACCUUUCUCCUUAUGGGGUUUGGUGGAAAGUUUUUCGGUGUAGGAUGAGCUCGCGGCCUAUCAGCUUGUUGGUGGGGUGAUGGCAUACCAAGGCGACGACGGGUAGCCGGCCUGAGAGGGUGAUCGGCCACAUUGGGACUGAGAUACGGCCCAGACUCCUACGGGAGGCAGCGGUGGGGAAUAUUGCACAAUGGGCGGAAGCCUGAUGCAGCGACGCCGCGUGGGGGAUGACGGCCUUCGGUUUGUAUACCUCUUUCAGCAGGGACGAAGCGUAAGUGACGGUACCUGCAGAAGAAGCACCGGCUAACUAUGUG
Molecule: ribosomal RNA, 467 nt
Filed under: uncultured bacterium
Lineage: Bacteria
Description: partial 16S ribosomal RNA
Rfam family: Bacterial small subunit ribosomal RNA
Source: RNAcentral